GGGGUACGUCGAGCGGGCCUGUAAUAAACCGGGGAAAAAAUUAACCGCCCUGACCUUCCAGUCAGAAGUCUCUCUUCGCCGGUGGCCUUGGGAGACUUCUGGCUGGCGGGGGAGAGCGGUAUUUUCCACUUGCAAUCCCACCGCAGGAGGCUGGAACAGGCUUUAAAAGGAUCUCAUCCCAUAAACUGCACUUCUGAGCUGUCAGUAAUGAGUCUUUGGGGUACUUCCGUGUGGUCAGAGUUACUGCUUACAGGGUUAACACUUUGUAACUUGGGGAUGCAAGGCCAGACGCCACGCUGAGAAAACAAGCCCUGUAGCUCUCUGAAGACCAAACUCCUGCAUCAGCACCACUGAAAUGUUUUAUCACGGCAAGAUCUCGGGUUCUUACUACCCUUCUUGAAUAUCCACGAUCUCCAUAGUUUUGUUUCCCUACCUAUGGAAAUAUGUAAUAAUUUGUCACAGCUGCAUUAAAUCAGAGGAGAAGC
Gavia stellata (red-throated loon) is the source of this 485-nucleotide long non-coding RNA. RefSeq lists it as uncharacterized. The record is from RefSeq and is a predicted model, not a curated record. The transcript is spliced from 3 exons. Lineage: Eukaryota; Metazoa; Chordata; Aves; Gaviiformes; Gaviidae.